GUCAACCUCCAUCAAGCAACGAGACGCUCCAAUAUGUAGACUCAGACUACACUUGUGGCAUCUUCUCUGUAGUUUUUUAUGGGAAUGCUGUCUACUUUGACAUACGUGUGAAGAACACCAUGAUUGAGGAACCAAAUCCUGAGUGCGUUAGAAAAUUCAAGGAACUAGCUUUUGGUACAAUUACAACAGUAUAUCGGAAGAAUUGCACGUUGUCUAAAUAGAGGUGAAAGAAAUCUCUCAAGACCCACCAAAACAUAUUCCAGUGAAGUAGUGACCUAAUAAACUUCCACCGAUCAAAAGU
Molecule: long non-coding RNA, 301 nt
Organism: Rhipicephalus microplus (southern cattle tick)
Lineage: Eukaryota; Metazoa; Arthropoda; Arachnida; Ixodida; Ixodidae
Source: RefSeq, a predicted model, not a curated record